This 468-nucleotide ribosomal RNA is filed under the name uncultured bacterium. RNAcentral's name for it is "partial 16S ribosomal RNA". It matches the Rfam family "Bacterial small subunit ribosomal RNA", at positions 39 to 507 of the family's 1533-position model. The record is from RNAcentral.
GGGGGGGGCGGGGGGGGGGCGGGGGGCGGGCGGGUCGGGCGGUGCGGCGCGAGCGGGCGGGGGGGGAGCAGUGGCGAGCGGGUGAGGCGCGCGUGAGCAACCCGCCCCUGGCGCUGGAAUCAGCGCCGCACGCGGCGUCUCAUACUGGAUACGCGAAGGGUCCGCCUGGGCGCUUUCUGGUCCGUUUUUCGGUUGGGGAUGGGCUCGCGGCCUACCUGCUUGUUGGUGAGGUAAUGGCUCCCCACGGCGACGACGGGUCGCCGGCCGGGGGGGGCCACCGGCCACACGGGGACUGAGACACGGCCCGGACUCCUACGGGAGGCAGCGGUGGGGAAUAUUGCACACUGGGCGAAAGCCUGAGGCAGCGACGCCGCGUGGGGGAUGCCGGCCUUCGGGUGGUAAACCUCUUUCAGCGGGGAAGAAGCGAAAGUGACGGUACCUGCAGAAGAAGCACCGGCUAACUACGUG